Molecule: ribosomal RNA, 468 nt
Filed under: uncultured bacterium
Lineage: Bacteria
Description: partial 16S ribosomal RNA
Rfam family: Bacterial small subunit ribosomal RNA
Source: RNAcentral
GACGAACGCUGGCGGCGUGCUUAACACAUGCAAGUCGAACGGAAAGGCCCUGCUGUUGUGGGGUGCUCGAGGAACGAACGGGUGAGUAACACGUGAGUAACCUGCCCUUGGCUUUGGGAUAACGUCAGGAAACUGGGGCUAAUACCGGAUAGGAGCUCCUGCUGCAUGGAGGGGGUUGGAAAGUUUCGGCGGAUGGGGAUGGGCUCGCGGCUUAUCAGCGUGUUGGUGGGGCAGUGGCUUACCAAGGCUUUGACCGGUUGCCGGCCUGAGAGGGUGAACGGCGACAUGGGUCCUGAGAGACGGCGCAGUCUGCUAUGGGAGGCAGCAGUGGGGAAUAUUGCACAAUGGGCGGACGCCUGAUGCAGCAACGCCGCGUGCGGGAUCACGGCCUGCGGGUUGUAAACCGCUUUCGCCUGUGACGAAGCGUGCGUGACGGUAAUGGGUAAAGAAGCACCGGCUAACUACGUG